GCUGGGAUAGCUCAGUCGGUAGAGAAUGAGACUCUUAAUCUCAAGGUUGUGGGUUUGAGCCCCAUGUUGGGCA
Podarcis lilfordi (Lilford's wall lizard) is the source of this 73-nucleotide non-coding RNA. The record is from the annotation of a GenBank genome assembly. Lineage: Eukaryota; Metazoa; Chordata; Lepidosauria; Squamata; Lacertidae.